This 713-nucleotide ribosomal RNA is filed under the name Halichoeres semicinctus (rock wrasse). Its description in RNAcentral is "partial 12S ribosomal RNA". The stretch from base 1 to 478 matches the Rfam family "Bacterial small subunit ribosomal RNA", at positions 866 to 1533 of the family's 1533-position model. Lineage: Eukaryota; Metazoa; Chordata; Actinopteri; Labriformes; Labridae. The record is from RNAcentral.
UAUCCGCCCGGGUACUACGAGCGUUAGCUUAAAACCCAAAGGACUUGGCGGUGCUUUAGAUCCACCUAGAGGAGCCUGUUCUAGAACCGAUAAUCCCCGUUAAACCUCACCUUUCCUUGUCUUUUCCCGCCUAUAUACCGCCGUCGUCAGCUUACUCUGUGAAGAGUUAGUAGUAAGCACAAUUGGCACAGCCUAAAACGCCAGGUCGAGGUGUAGCGAAUGGAGAGGGAAGAAAUGGGCUACAUUCAGUACUAAUACUGAAUACGAAUGACGUUCUGAAAUUGGACGUCUGAAGGAGGAUUUAGUAGUAAGUAGGGAAUAGAGUGCCCUGCUGAAAUUGGCCCUGAAGCGCGUACACACCGCCCGUCACUCUCCCCGAGCUAAUUGACCCUACAUUUCUAAUAAGCUAGAACUGCUAAGGGGAGGCAAGUCGUAACAUGGUAAGCGUACCGGAAGGUGCGCUUGGAAAAACUCAGAGCAUAGUUAAAUAACGUAUAACAUUUCCCUUACACUGAAAAAACACCCGUGCAACCCGGGUUGCCCUGAAACCCAAUAGCUAGCCCAACCCCCUAAACCAAAUAAAUCAACAUCAAUAACCCCUCAUGCACUAAGCAAAACCAAACAAACCAUUUUUCCCUCUUAGUAUGGGCGACAGAAAAGAGACUUACGGCGCAAUAAAGAAAGUACCGCAAGGGAAAGCUGAAAGAGAAAUG